UGCCUACGGGUGGCUGCAGUGGGGAAUAUUGCACAAUGGGCGCAAGCCUGAUGCAGCCAUGCCGCGUGUAUGAAGAAGGCCUUCGGGUUGUAAAGUACUUUCAGCGGGGAGGAAGGUGUUGAGGUUAAUAACCUCAGCAAUUGACGUUACCCGCAGAAGAAGCACCGGCUAACUCCGUGCCAGCAGCCGCGGUAAUACGGAGGGUGCAAGCGUUAAUCGGAAUUACUGGGCGUAAAGCGCACGCAGGCGGUCUGUCAAGUCGGAUGUGAAAACCCCGGGCUCAACCUGGGAACUGCAUUCGAAACUGGCAGGCUAGAGUCUUGUAGAGGGGGGUAGAAUUCCAGGUGUAGCGGUGAAAUGCGUAGAGAUCUGGAGGAAUACCGGUGGCGAAGGCGGCCCCCUGGACAAAGACUGACGCUCAGGUGCGAAAGCGUGGGGAGCAAACAGGAUUAGAUACCCCGGUAGUCU
RNAcentral lists this ribosomal RNA (468 nucleotides) under uncultured Enterobacteriaceae bacterium. RNAcentral describes it as "bacterial SSU rRNA". It matches the Rfam family "Bacterial small subunit ribosomal RNA", at positions 335 to 796 of the family's 1533-position model. Lineage: Bacteria; Pseudomonadati; Pseudomonadota; Gammaproteobacteria; Enterobacterales; Enterobacteriaceae. The record is from RNAcentral.